CCUACGGGAGGCAGCAGUGGGGAAUAUUGGACAAUGGGGGAAACCCUUAUCCAGCGACGCCGCGUGAGGGAAGAAGGUUUUCGGAUUGUAAACCUCUGUCAGUGGGGACGAUAAUGACGGUACCCACGGAGGAAGCCACGGCUAACUACGUGCCAGCAGCCGCGGUAAUACGGAAGGUCCGGGCGUUAUCCGGAUUUAUGGGGUUUAAAGGGUGCGCAGGCGGAAUGUCAAGUCAGCGGUAAAAUUUCGGGGCUCAACCCCGUCGUGCCGUUGAAACUGGCGUUCUUGAGUGAGUGAGAAGUAUGCGGAAUGCGUGGUGUAGCGGUGAAAUGCAUAGAUAUUACGCAGAACUCCGAUAGCGAAGGCAGCAUACUGGCGCUCAACUGACGCUCAUGCACGAAAGCGUGGGUAGCGAACAGGAUUAGAUACCCCAGUAGUC
RNAcentral lists this ribosomal RNA (439 nucleotides) under uncultured bacterium. Its description in RNAcentral is "partial 16S ribosomal RNA". It matches the Rfam family "Bacterial small subunit ribosomal RNA", at positions 338 to 795 of the family's 1533-position model. The record is from RNAcentral.